AGUGAACGCUGGCGGUAGGCCUAACACAUGCAAGUCGAACGGCAGCACAGUAAGAGCUUGCUCUUACGGGUGGCGAGUGGCGGACGGGUGAGGAAUACAUCGGAAUCUACUUUUUCGUGGGGGAUCACGUAGGGAAACUUACGCUAAUACCGCAUACGACCUACGGGUGAAAGCAGGGGAUCUUCGGACCUUGCGCGAUUGAAUGAGCCGAUGUCGGAUUAGCUAGUUGGCGGGCUAAAGGCCCACCAGGGCGACGAUCCGUAGCUGGUCUGAGCGGAUGAUUCGGCAGACUGGAACUGAGGAACGGUCCAGACUCCUACGGGAGGCAGCAGUGGGGAAUAUUGGACAAUGGGGGCAAGCCGGAUCCAGCCAUACCGCGUGGGUGAAGAAGGACUUCGGGUUGUAAAGCCAUUUUGUUGGGAAAGAAAAGCAGCAGGUUAAUACCCCGCUGUGCUGACGGUACCCAAAGAAUAAGCACCGGCUAACUUCGUG
This 492-nucleotide ribosomal RNA is filed under the name uncultured bacterium. RNAcentral describes it as "partial 16S ribosomal RNA". It matches the Rfam family "Bacterial small subunit ribosomal RNA", at positions 29 to 507 of the family's 1533-position model. The record is from RNAcentral.